AUUGAACGCUGGCGGCAUGCCUUACACAUGCAAGUCGAACGGAACAGGUUAAGCUGACGAGUGGCGAACGGGUGAGUAAUGUAUCGGAACGUGCCCAGGCGGGGGGGAUAACUGCUCGAAAGAGCAGCUAAUACCGCAUACGACCUGAGGGUGAAAGCGGGGGGUCGCAAGACCUCGCGCGAUUGGAGCGGCCGAUAUCAGAUUAGGUAGUUGGUGAGGUAAAGGCUCACCAAGCCGACGAUCUGUAGCUGGUCUGAGAGGACGACCAGCCACACUGGGACUGAGACACGGCCCAGACUCCUACGGGAGGCAGCAGUGGGGAAUUUUGGACAAUGGGCGCAAGCCUGAUCCAGCCAUGCCGCGUGCGGGAAGAAGGCCUUCGGGUUGUAAACCGCUUUUGUCAGGGAAGAAAAGGUUCUGGCUAAUACCUGGGACUCAUGACGGUACCUGAAGAAUAAGCACCGGCUAACUACGUG
This 476-nucleotide ribosomal RNA is filed under the name uncultured bacterium. Its description in RNAcentral is "partial 16S ribosomal RNA". It matches the Rfam family "Bacterial small subunit ribosomal RNA", at positions 29 to 507 of the family's 1533-position model. The record is from RNAcentral.